Non-coding RNA from Camellia sinensis, 1687 nucleotides. The record is from RefSeq and is a predicted model, not a curated record. NCBI's taxonomy places the organism in Eukaryota, Viridiplantae, Streptophyta, Magnoliopsida, Ericales, Theaceae.
AUUCCAUGUGAUGCAACAUAACAGGAUCAUGCAGAAAAAAAAUAGCUAUUUCAAUAGAGUGGGUAAGUAGAUUGUUUAGUUUGGUGGCUAUUUCAAAAAAUGGCUAUUUCAACAGGAGCAUACCAUGUAUUUCAAUAGAUUGUUUGGAUCUAGUUAGCAUUCUUAUUUUUCCAGUGUUUGAUGUGAUUCAAAGCAUGCUCCUUCCACAAAAUGCAAACAUGUAUGAAAUUUUGGAUAACAGUGCCUGUUUCAAUAGAGUGGGUAAGUAGGCAAUAUUAAUGUUCAUUUUGAUUUUAAAAAGAAAAAAAGAAAAAAAAAGAAAAAAAAAAGGAAGAAAAACUUUGAGCUAAAAAGGUACAGUUCUAAUAAUUUUUUUGCCUGUCUACAGAUUUCUGGAUCCAGCAAGUAGAGAAUGGACAUAAAAGGAUGCAAAAAAGGAAGAAAACACAUGACAACUAAUGAAGGAACAGGAUCAUACCACAACAGCAGAAAGUUUACUUAGUUUUGGUUUAUUUGUUUGCUGUUGUUGUUUUUUUGGAGGCCUACAGCUUAUCAGUAAGGGGAGAGCUCAAGAAUGGAGUAAAUAGUUUGUUAAUUGAUGCUUCUGAGGGUGAUGAUGCAUUGAAGGCUUCAAAACACACAAAAAGGUCUGAGAACCAGAAUGGAAAUCAGCCGAUUAGAUCAAGACAACCAACAAUUAAUGGCCAUAGGGUCAGGGAUGCGGAUGCCACAAUUCCUGCCAGAAGAGAUUCCUCCUGUCAGGCUGCCACUAAUAUUGUAAAUGAGGCAAAGGAUCUUUAACACUCGGCUGAUCGCCUUAAGAAUUCUGGAUUAAUUGUUGAAAGUACAGGUCUUUACUUCCAGGCAGCCCUUAAGUUUCUUCAUGGAGCCUCUUUAUUGGAAUCUAGCAAUGGCGAGAGUGCCAAGCAAGGCGAGAUGAUUCGGUCAAUGCAAAUGUGUAGUAGCACAGCAAAACUCUGUGAGUUUUGUGCUCAUGAAUAUGAGAAAUCCAAGGACAUUGCUGCUGCUGCUCUGGCCUACAAAUGCAUCUAGGUGGCAUAUAUGAGAGUAAUUUAUUACUCGCAUACCAAUGCAAGCAGAGAUCGGCAUGAGUUGCAGACAACUUUGCAAAUAGUCCCUCCUGGAGGAAAGGCCGAUGAAUAAGUACUAUAAUUUCAUUUGAAAUCAUGACUUCCAUAAGAGAAACUGAAGCAACUGGAAAUAUCAGAGCAGGAAAUUUAUUGCACUGGACAAAAAUCUUUUGUGGUAUCUUCUUUCUAGUACAAACGUGUGAAUCUCCCUCUUCCUCUGCCUCCGACGUUGAUAACUUAAACAACCCAACAACAUUAGACAAGGUUCCCUUAACCAAGGGUGUUAGCUCUUCUCAAGUUGCUGCAAACCAUGUUAUUGCUGCAUGAAACCGCCCCAGUUUGGUGCGGCUGCUCAACUUUAUCAAAGGGUUGUCAGCCCCAUUGAAAGACAACGUGAAGAUUAGGAGAAGUAGGGGAAGAGCUGGUGCUAAGGUUUUCCAAUUGUGAAUACCAUCAUCUUUCAAAGAAGCAAAACUCAAGACAAUAACGGAAUCAAACGUGCUCUUUUUCUUUCCACAUGUAGUGUCUUCUUGCCAAAUUGUCAAGACCUUACCAGGCUUUGAUGGUGAACUUCCUUUCACUCUUGAAACUGGGUA